CAGGUGGACGUUGGGGCGUGGAAUCACGGGUUGAGUUGGGUUGCGCAGUUCGCUGUGUUUGCCUGCUCGAUUCUCCACACACCCCCGUCCGUGACAAGCCUCCUCGCUCGGGUACAUAACGGAUAUCGGUUAAAGGAGUGUGGGGGGUUGCGUGUGUGGGGUUCUGCCUCGCAUGUGUCUCUCUCUACGUUAAGCUCCAUCGGUAUCACGGUCACCUUGAGUAAAUCAGAGUGCUCAAAGCAGUCGUAGGGGCCUUGCGCCCUGUGAACAGUCUUGACGGACUGACUUGGUUUUGCAUGGCAUGUCGGAAGACGACGUCGUGUGCUGGCUCAGAGGAUAAAUCAGUGGUACAAGCCAGCCUCGACGUAAUGAUUAAAAGGGACGGUCGAGGGCAUUGGUAUUGCGAGGCGAGAGGUGAAAUUCUGUGACCCCCGCAAGACCUCCUGAAGCGAAAGCGUCUGCCAAGGACGUUUUCAUUAAUCAUGAACGAAAGUUAGAGGAUCGAAGGCGAUCAGAUACCGCCCUAGUUCUAACCCUAAACGAUGCCAACCAUCAAUCCGCGCGUAGCACCCUUCUUAACGGGCUCGGCGGGCAGCUCCCCACUCACGGGAAACCAGAGCCUCUGGGUUCCGGGGGGAGUCUGGUUGCAAAGCUGAAACUUAAAGGAAUUGACGGAAAGGCACCACCAGGCGUGGAGCCUGCGGCUUAAUUUGACUCAACACGGGCCAUCUCACCAGGCCAGCACUCUUGUACGAUUGACAGAUUGAGAGCUCUUUCUCGAUUCAGUGGAUGGUGGUGCAUGGCCGUUCUUAGUUGGUGGAGUGAUCUGUCUGGUUAAUUCCGAUAACGAACGAGACUCUCCCCUGCUAACUAGUCGGUUGGAUCUUGAUCAGUGGGUUGCGUGCUGAGUAGCUCUCGCUGCGUUGGUGUGUGCUUGUGCGGGGCAACCUGUGCUUGUGCGUGCUGCGUGGUGUUGGACGCCUCGGAUCACACUGCACCCCAAGUCCGCCGCUUAUGCUAUAACUCUUCUUAGAGGGAUUCACGGCACUGAAGCCGUAAGAGACUGAGAGCAAUAACAGGUCUGUGAUGCCCUUAGAUGCUCUGGGCCGCACGCGCGCUACAAUGCCGGGCACAGCAGGUGUUUCUCCUGCUCCGACAGGAGCGGGUAACCCUCUGAAAGCCAGUGUUUUAUGCAAGUACUACCUCCCUCGUGGAGUGGUACAGAGGCGUGCUUGGGCCUGGGACUUGCAAUUCUUUCCCACCAACGAGGAAUGCCUAGUAGCGGCGGGUCACUGAGCCCGCUGUGACUCAGUCCCUGCCCUUUGUACACACCGCCCGUCGCUACUACCGAUUGGGUGUACCAGUGAGAGCCUUGGACUGGCGUCCGUUGUUGC
This 1394-nucleotide ribosomal RNA is filed under the name Echinogammarus platvoeti. RNAcentral describes it as "bacterial SSU rRNA". It matches the Rfam family "Eukaryotic small subunit ribosomal RNA", at positions 642 to 1731 of the family's 1831-position model. The record is from RNAcentral. Lineage: Eukaryota; Metazoa; Arthropoda; Malacostraca; Amphipoda; Gammaridae.